GACGAACGCUGGCCGCGUGCCUAAUACAUGCAAGUCGAGCGGACUUGAAGGAGUGCUUGCACUCCUGAGAGUUAGCGGCGGACGGGUGAGUAACACGUAGGCAACCUGCCCUCAAGACUGGGAUAACUACCGGAAACGGUAGCUAAUACCGGAUAAUUUAUUACAUAGCAUUAUGUGAUAAUGAAAGACGGAGCAAUCUGUCACUUGGGGAUGGGCCUGCGGCGCAUUAGCUAGUUGGUGGGGUAACGGCCCACCAAGGCGACGAUGCGUAGCCGACCUGAGAGGGUGAACGGCCACACUGGGACUGAGACACGGCCCAGACUCCUACGGGAGGCAGCAGUAGGGAAUCUUCCGCAAUGGGCGAAAGCCUGACGGAGCAACGCCGCGUGAGUGAUGAAGGUUUUCGGAUCGUAAAGCUCUGUUGCCAAGGAAGAACGUCUCAUAGAGUAACUGCUAUGAGAGUGACGGUACUUGAGAAGAAAGCCCCGGCUAACUACGUG
RNAcentral lists this ribosomal RNA (500 nucleotides) under uncultured bacterium. Its description in RNAcentral is "partial 16S ribosomal RNA". It matches the Rfam family "Bacterial small subunit ribosomal RNA", at positions 28 to 507 of the family's 1533-position model. The record is from RNAcentral.